RNAcentral lists this transfer RNA (109 nucleotides) under Richelia sp. RM2_1_2. RNAcentral's name for it is "tRNA-Cys". Lineage: Bacteria; Bacillati; Cyanobacteriota; Cyanophyceae; Nostocales; Nostocaceae. The record is from RNAcentral.
GGGGUAGUUAAAAUUAAAGUUCAUACAGAUGGUGUGAAUUAAAAAGUAUUAGGGAAAACUGUUAGUGUUUACAGUAUAAUUGGAGGUUCGAAUCCUUCUAUCCCCACCA